RNAcentral lists this ribosomal RNA (808 nucleotides) under uncultured bacterium. RNAcentral describes it as "bacterial SSU rRNA". It matches the Rfam family "Bacterial small subunit ribosomal RNA", at positions 79 to 882 of the family's 1533-position model. The record is from RNAcentral.
CUUGCUUCUCUUGAGAGCGGCGGACGGGUGAGUAAUGCCUAGGAAUCUGCCUGGUAGUGGGGGAUAACGUUCGGAAACGGACGCUAAUACCGCAUACGUCCUACGGGAGAAAGCAGGGGACCUUCGGGCCUUGCGCUAUCAGAUGAGCCUAGGUCGGAUUAGCUAGUUGGUGGGGUAAUGGCUCACCAAGGCGACGAUCCGUAACUGGUCUGAGAGGAUGAUCAGUCACACUGGAACUGAGACACGGUCCAGACUCCUACGGGAGGCAGCAGUGGGGAAUAUUGGACAAUGGGCGAAAGCCUGAUCCAGCCAUGCCGCGUGUGUGAAGAAGGUCUUCGGAUUGUAAAGCACUUUAAGUUGGGAGGAAGGGUUGUAGAUUAAUACUCUGCAAUUUUGACGUUACCGACAGAAUAAGCACCGGCUAACUCUGUGCCAGCAGCCGCGGUAAUACAGAGGGUGCAAGCGUUAAUCGGAAUUACUGGGCGUAAAGCGCGCGUAGGUGGUUUGUUAAGUUGGAUGUGAAAUCCCCGGGCUCAACCUGGGAACUGCAUUCAAAACUGACUGACUAGAGUAUGGUAGAGGGUGGUGGAAUUUCCUGUGUAGCGGUGAAAUGCGUAGAUAUAGGAAGGAACACCAGUGGCGAAGGCGACCACCUGGACUAAUACUGACACUGAGGUGCGAAAGCGUGGGGAGCAAACAGGAUUAGAUACCCUGGUAGUCCACGCCGUAAACGAUGUCAACUAGCCGUUGGAAGCCCUUGAGCUUUUAGUGGCGCAGCUAACGCAUUAGUUGACCGCCUGGGGGAGUA